UACGGAGGGUGCAAGCGUUAUCCGGAUUCACUGGGUUUAAAGGGUGCGUAGGUGGGCUCGUAAGUCCGUGGUGAAAUCCCCGAGCUUAACUCGGGAACUGCCGUGGAUACUAUUAGUCUUGAAUAUCGUGGAGGUAAGCGGAAUAUGUCAUGUAGCGGUGAAAUGCUUAGAUAUGACAUAGAACACCGAUAGCGGAGGCAGCUUACUACGCGAUUAUUGACACUGAGGCACGAAAGCGUGGGGAUCAAACAGG
Molecule: ribosomal RNA, 253 nt
Filed under: uncultured bacterium
Lineage: Bacteria
Description: partial 16S ribosomal RNA
Rfam family: Bacterial small subunit ribosomal RNA
Source: RNAcentral